AGCAGCCGCGGUAAUUCCAGCUCCAAUAGCGUAUAUUAAAGUUGUUGCAGUUAAAAAGCUCGUAGUUGAAUUUCGGGAUCAAUUUGCUGGUCGUGCCUUCGGUACGCACUGGUAUUAUUGGUUUCUCCUUUCUGAUGAAUCGCGAUGUCAUUAAUUUGGUGUCGUGGGGAAUCAGGACUGUUACUUUGAAAAAUUAGAGUGUUUAAAGCAGGCUCACGCUUGAAUACAUUAGCAUGGAAUAAUGAAAUAGGACGUUUGAUUCUAUUUUGUUGGUUUCUAGGAUCGACGUAAUGAUUAAUAGGGAUAGUUGGGGGCAUUAGUAUUCAAUUGUCAGAGGUGAAAUUCUUGGAUUUAUUGAAGACUAACUACUGCGAAAGCAUUUGCCAAGGAUGUUUUCAUUAAUCAAGAACGAAAGUUAGGGGAUCGAAGACGAUCAGAUACCGUCGUAGUCUUAACCAUAAACUAUGCCGACUAGGGAUCGGAUGAUGUUAAUUUUUAANGUACUCAUUCGGCGCCUUAA
This 520-nucleotide ribosomal RNA is filed under the name uncultured Glomus. RNAcentral describes it as "SSU rRNA". It matches the Rfam family "Eukaryotic small subunit ribosomal RNA", at positions 569 to 1091 of the family's 1831-position model. Lineage: Eukaryota; Fungi; Glomeromycota; Glomeromycetes; Glomerales; Glomeraceae. The record is from RNAcentral.